UUAAAUAUUAUUAUCUUAUAAUAAUAAAUAAUUAAUAUUAAUAAUAAUAACAUUUUUAUUAUUAUUAAUUAUACUUGUAAUACCCGGCUAGACUCCGGUAUCGGAAUUCCUACCGUCCGGUGGAAUCUCGGAUGUCGGAAGCCUCUGGUAGGGUAGAAACAUGUUCUCAUAAAAUGUUUUAAGGUAUUUCAUGGUUUUAAGUAUGAAAAUUAAAUGAGUUUUUGCAUGAAAAGUCUUUGGAGGAAAACCCAGGUUCGGCCGCCGAAAGCCAAGUUCGGCCUCCGAAC
This 287-nucleotide long non-coding RNA is filed under the name Manihot esculenta (cassava). RNAcentral describes it as "long non-coding RNA (MESC_LNC000250)". Lineage: Eukaryota; Viridiplantae; Streptophyta; Magnoliopsida; Malpighiales; Euphorbiaceae. The record is from RNAcentral.